AUCCAGCUGACGAGUCCCAAACAGGGCAAAACCCACGUUAUCCUGGAU
RNAcentral lists this non-coding RNA (48 nucleotides) under Trichobilharzia regenti. Lineage: Eukaryota; Metazoa; Platyhelminthes; Trematoda; Strigeidida; Schistosomatidae. The record is from RNAcentral.